AAGAUGAUCGUCCUGUUCACGGAUGGUAUUCAGAACACUCCACCGUAUCAAGAAGGUCUCGUAGAAAUUGGAAAGUUGUUGGAUAAUGAGAAUAUAAAAGUGUUCGGCAUUCUCACAGGAGAGCAGAGAAACAUGAAUGCCUUAUUGAAUUUGUGCACAAAUGAUCAAUUCAUCUUUGAACCAGAGUUUCUUCCAGAAUUGAUCGAGGUUAUGUAUCAUGAAACUGAAUAUUAUUGCUAAGGUAUAGUUUCUAUAGCUUCUUUAUGUUUUUUCUCACUGCAUAUAGUUAUUCUGUAUUAGGGACCGGUCAUUAUUUAUGGCAGGGGUGGGGGCCGAAGAGAAAGUAUAAUGAAGCCGGAAAAAAUCAUUACCCCACCUUUUUCGAAACAAAAUUUCUAGCUACCCCAUCGGUGGAAUGCCAGAAAAUUUUUUUACCCCACCCAAUCCUAUUUUGUUGCAAUGUCAAAGGUUCAGACAUAAAAUAUGUAAUGAAACAGUUUAGUAUUUUGUAUGCAUAUUACUCAUCAAGGUACAAAAUUGCCCUUGAUGAGUAAGAUCAUCUGCUGUUAGAGAGUAAAUAAUUAACAAUUAUUGGAUGAGGUUUUUGUGAUAUGCGGAAUUAUCAAGGUCGAGGUAAGCGUUAUCAGCCGAGUCGAAGCUGAUAACGCUUACCGAGACCUUGAUAAUUUUGCAUAUCGCAAAAACCGAAUUCAAUAAUUGUUUUAUUAUACAUUUGAAAAAUAAUAAACAUAGUAUUUUAAUAUUUUAAUUUUUUUGCGAUAUGCAAAAUUAUCAAGGUCUCGGUAAGCGUUAUAUUCAAUAUGAUUUCUGGCGAAGCUGUUCAAGUAAAACGUUUCUAUAAACAAGUCUCCGGAAGUCCAACAGUUAAAUUAAUUACAAAUAUAGAAGAAACAUAUUAUCGUUAAGAUGUUAACGUAUUAAAAUAUUUACUUGUUAAAGUAAACAUUACAAUUAUGAAAUGUACAUUCAUUUGAAAAUUGAAAUGUACACUCAUUUGAAAUGUACACUCAUUCAACCUCACGCAACCUACACAAAAUUCAGUUAUCUGCUAGCAGAUAACUGAGUUAUCUGCUAGCAGAUAACUGAAUUUUGUGUAGGUUGCGUGAUUUAACUGUAAGCUCUUAGCCAAUCAAAUUGCUUUUACCAACUACAAUGUAUAAUAAUAAUUAUUAUAGGGUGCUUUGACCACAGUGGACAUUAGAAAUAGGAUUAAUUGGUAAUACUUGUUUACCAAUAUCCCUUGGGAAUAGGAUUGAUUGGUAAUACUUGUUUACCAAUAUCCCUUGCCUUCCCCUUAUUUCUUGUGGAUCAGUAUAAAUUAAAGCACACUAUAACAACAGUCAUGCAUUUAUAUUAUGGGUUAUCCCUACAAUAGCAAGGUACUAUAUAAAGAAUUAUAGUUAUCUGAAGGCUUAAAAUUUGUCUACUUGUAAAAUUGAAAUAUGAAUGGGUUUUUAUAGUUUGUAUUCAACGCUAUAUUCCCUUUUCACGAGAUAGUGCAAUGCUAGUCCCAUAAACAUAUAUUAACCAUAUGCUUCAAUAUUUUAGAACACUAACCGUAUUUCACCACCCUAUCUCUUUAAUUCCCACUUUAAAGUUUCACUGUAUAUAAUUUGGUUUCUUUCACAUUCUUGCAUUUCUUUAUUAAUUAAAAUGCAAUUUUAUUUUGAAACAGUUUCACAAAAUAUGUGCUCACCCAUGAUUGCAACUAUCUAAAUUCUAAAAUUUCCUCUGAAAUUCCUUUAAUAUUUCCUUACUAUAGACAAUCACAUGUAUCAUCACGGAAUUUUAAAGGAAUUCCUUAAGAAUUCCCAAGGAAUUCCUUAAGAAUUCCCAAGGAAUUCUUGAAGUUUAUGAAAUCAAUUUACUGUAAUAUUUUAAUUCGUAAACAAUAGCACGAUACUAAAGUAUUUGUCCCAUGUGAGAAUAUCUGAAUUUAGAAAGUUACUGUAAAUUAAUGAGAAAAAGUUGCUGUUAUACAGUGUGAAGAUAAAGAUAUUCAUCCGAAUACCAAGUAUGAUUAUAUAAACAAUUAAAUUAAUCUGUAAAACGGGUAAAUAGAUUUCUCUUAUUUUUAUAUCCAUGUAUACAUGGUCUGCUAGUAAAGAAAAACAACUAGAGUUGAACAUAUUGUCAACUAGCCAUUGGAAUGAUUCUCCAGAUUCACAAGGGGCAUGGGCAUAUUUCAUGAUUUGCUACCUGAAUUGUACACAUGGUUUACAAGCACAUACUGGAUAUAAAUAUUAGUUAUGCAGUAUCAAGUGUAGAUGCCCAGAAAUUAAAUCCUGAAAAUUUAAUAGACUGUACAUAUACUUUUUGAGAUAAUAUGUAAUAAGAGGAUGUUUAUAUGGGGGCGAGGCUGGAUGCCCAGGGUUAUGGGCUACAGACUUAAGGUCACUUUUCCUGAAGCAAGAUCUCCGGCUAAAGGGGAGGGAUCUCGCUUAGCUAUAGCUGGGCCCGCUCUUUACCCAUAUAUACACAAGGUGAACUUUAGUAAGAAAUAACAACAAAGGCAGGAUCUCGCCAAAACUGGGCCAGCUUGGGUACCUGGGGUUGGCUUGCAGUUGCACCAUAUAAACUGCCCCUAUAUAUAGGCAGCAUAUAUUGUCUCAUGGUAAUUGGAGUCUUUGGAGAUUUUGUGUGUAAAUGAAUAUAAAAAUGACCCUUUAUGGGUGGGUUGAGGGGGGUGUUUCUGUCAACAUUUUGGAAAGCAAUAACAUUUUAUUAAAAAAUUAGAAUAAUCACACAUUAAACUCUGAUCAAUUGUAGUAUAUAUUGUAUUGUGUGUGAUUAAAGUAAGGUUAUUUUUUUACCCCACCUCUGCAUGCAAGGAUUUUUUGGCCACCCCACCUAAAGCAACUAUUAUUUUUCAGUUACCCCACCAUUUUCUCUUCGGCCCCCACCCCUGCCAUAAAUAAUGACCGGUCCCUUAGAGAGAAGUAUGAAUCAAAUGAGACCAGAAACUAAUGUUUUAAAACACUUUAUUAUAAAACUAUGAGUAUUUUCCAGCUAUCAAGUCUACCAUGCAGGUCAUGAACAUUUGACUAACUCAGUGACAUGGCAGAUACUAUAUUAGUAUAUUGGUGGAAAUUGGCAACAAAUUCCGACCUACGGCUACACUAUAUUUCAGUGUUGCUGCAUGAUUUCAGUUCAUUUUGGUCCAAAUUUAAUGCAGCUAAUUUUCCACAUUAAAAGACUGUCAGGCGUUUCUUACAAUUUUUAACAGACUUUAAGUGAAUAUCGAGCGGGUGGGGCAGGUUAUAGUCCCCCACUCGAUAAAGUUUAUUCACAGUGACAGAGUACCGUGAAUAUAAGUGUGACGAAUUUCUAAAUUCAUGAAUGUUUUUAUGGGAAACCCUACGAAUGUUUAUUUGGAAAAUCCUUUGACUUUUGUGAAUCAUCACAACAAGCUAAUGUCGCAUGUCGAAUUUUCGUAUGUCUUUUUCAAUGCUCUCACUUUUAAGGAAUUAUCCUUAAAAAUAGGAAUUUUGAGGAUUUUUUAAAGGAAUUGUUUUCAGUUUUUAGUGCUUAGAAACAAGGUUGAAAAACUGAAAAACAGCAAAAAAGGAGAAAAAACACUUUUGCAACUAUGUGACCAGGUCUAAGUGUAGUAAUUUUACCAUUAAAGAAUUUUAAGGAAAUCUGAGGAAUUUUCGAGCUUUUUCUAAGGAAUUCGAAAAUUUGAUUGUGAGCACUGCCCUUUUAUUACCCUGGCCCAGAGGUUUUUUUAGGUUUGGCGAACGCGAAAUGCGAGAAAACGCGCGAAGAAAAAGGAAAAACCUCUGGUGAAUUUGUUAGCGAUUCCUGGUUCGGACAAAGAAUGCAAAAAAUGUAUAAUGGCUUAAUGCAGCAUAUUCUAAAAAUAUUAUCCAAUCAUUAUCCUUGACGCCAGGCCGUCUAGACAGGGUUUUAUCGCAUGUUUACUGUCCAGUGUAUGCCUGCCCAUUUGUAGCAAUAUUCAUUCUCCUGAAUUUCAUUCAAUUUAAAACAUCACAUCUAUUCAAUUUAAUAUAAAUAUAUAUUUAUUUUCAUUCACUUUAAUCUUGCAAUAGACACUUCCCGAAUUUGCUUGAGUGCACACGAAACAAUAGCUUGGAAUCGAGGCGGACAAUGUAAUCCAUUGGAAAACUAUACUUAUUUCCAAUGGAUUACAUUGUCCGCCUCGAUUCCAAGCUAUUGUUUCGUGUGCACUCAAGCAAAUUCGGGAAGUGUCUAUAUACAUUCAAUUUAAUCCUGCAAUAUACAUUCAAAAAAAUCUGUAUUUUAUAAAUUUAUUAAACACACCUCUUUGGGCCGACGUGAACUUUGUCUGUUAAUUCAAAAGCAAGCAAAUUUGUCUUGUAGAUUUCAAAUGAAACCAUUCCUCUCUAUUUCGCAUUUCGAAUAAUAGACUCGCCGGGAUUACAGAAUGCGAAUGUAAACUCUCCAUCUAGUAUUGCUUUCUCGUCCUCUUCGUUUGACAGUUAAGUAACACGGCAUCCACGCUUUCUUAGUUCACGGACGUGAGAGUCAAUGAAAUAGUUCAAUUUGCAAAUGACUAUUAAGACGGGUUUCUCCAGAAAAUUGUGGCUUUUGCCAAGUCGUCGUGCUACUCUCGGUGUUGGAACUUUGGAAUAUUAAACUCUUCCCAUAACCGAUAGCAAGAUGCAAAUACAUCUUUAAUGUGAAUCAAAUUGGACAAGGCGCGGUAUUGAUGCUCCGUUAAACUUUUAAUUCAGGAAAUUUAUCAAUCUAUCUAUUAAUGCAGCCUAUAAAACUGCUUCUUUCAACUUUUGUUCGCUUAUUUAAUAAUAUUAUUAGACAUUUCAAAAUUCAAAUGUUUCAAUUCAAUCAAAACACGAAACGCCUGCGAACAGGCUAUGAUGUUUACAAUAUCCAAUCAGAAUACGUAGUCUAUCGAACCUAUAGUCAGCAGCCAAUCAACUCUUUGCUUCCAUUUUUGAAAGUUAUGUGUGGAAUGUGAACACGAAAACUACGUCAAUUUCACCAGAGGGUUAUUCAAAACAGGCGAAAAUAAAUACCCUCCGGUUCCAGGGUACCCUUUUAUCGGUGUAUAGUUACAGUAUACUGAUUUAAUAUGCUGUUUUUCAUUUUUUUUCAGAAUCUGUGUUUUCUCAUGCAGUUGCAUCGAUGUACCGUAAUUUCCUGUUAAACGAAGCUAAUUUGCUAUGUAUUUCCAAAUUUAAGGGUGUAGUGGAAUAUUUACUAAUUUGCAAGUAUAUACUCUAUUACUAUUAGAACUAGAUGAUAGAACUAAAAAUUUUGUGUAAAGUAAAAAAAGGGGAA
Molecule: non-coding RNA, 5307 nt
Organism: Paramuricea clavata
Lineage: Eukaryota; Metazoa; Cnidaria; Anthozoa; Malacalcyonacea; Plexauridae
Source: the annotation of a GenBank genome assembly